CGUAGGACCCAAGCGUUAUCCGGAGUGACUGGGCGUAAAGAGUUGCGUAGGUGGUCAGUAAAGCGAAUAGUGAAAUCUGGGGGCUCAACCUCACAGGCUAUUAUUCGAACUCACUGACUCGAGAACAGCAGAGGUAACUGGAAUUUCUGAAGUAGGGGUAAUAUCCGUAGAUAUCAGAAGGAACACCAAUGGCGUAGGCAGGUUACUGGGCUGUUUCUGACACUGAGGCACGAAAGCGUGGGGAGCGAACCGGAUUAGAUACCCGGGUAGUCCACGCCGUAAACGAUGGAUACUAGCUGUUGGAGGUAUCGACCCCUUCAGUAGCGAAGCUAACGCGUUAAGUAUCCCGCCUGUGGAGUACGGUCGCAAGACUA
RNAcentral lists this ribosomal RNA (374 nucleotides) under uncultured organism. RNAcentral describes it as "bacterial SSU rRNA". It matches the Rfam family "Bacterial small subunit ribosomal RNA", at positions 526 to 896 of the family's 1533-position model. The record is from RNAcentral.